CGAAAUGAUGAUCAUUACAUCACAUCGGAGCAAUUGACCAUUAUAAGUUUAUGAAGAAAAAAUGUUACUCGAAUGUGGAAAAGUAUCAAAAGUGGUUAAAAUGUUAUGAAGAAAUAACCAGAAAGAAAUGACAAUCCUGAGAACAGAAUGUCACCGAGUCCAAAUGUCAAGAUAGGUGAAUUGAAAAUUCCACCCU
RNAcentral lists this long non-coding RNA (196 nucleotides) under Fukomys damarensis (Damara mole-rat). Its description in RNAcentral is "lncRNA (ENSFDAG00000021700.1)". The record is from RNAcentral. Lineage: Eukaryota; Metazoa; Chordata; Mammalia; Rodentia; Bathyergidae.